AACGAACGCUGGCGGCAGGCUUAACACAUGCAAGUCGAACGUCCUGGCAACAGGGCGUGGCAGACGGGUGCGUAACGCGUGGGAACAUACCUUUCGGUUCGGAAUAACCCAGGGAAACUUGGGACAAUACCGGAUACGUGCGAAAGCAGAAAGAUUUAUCGCCGAAAGAUUGGCCCGCGUCCGAUUAGCUAGUUGGUGAGGUAAUGGCUCACCAAGGCGACGAUCGGUAGCUGGUCUGAGAGGAUGAUCAGCCACACUGGGACUGAGACACGGCCCAGACUCCUACGGGAGGCAGCAGUGGGAAUAUUGGACAAUGGGGGAGACCCUGACCCAGCGACGCCGCGUGAGGGACGAAGGUUUUCGGAUCGUAAACCUCUGUUGUACGGGAAGAAGGAUGUGACGGUACCGUACGAGGGAAGCCCCGGCAAACUACGUG
RNAcentral lists this ribosomal RNA (436 nucleotides) under uncultured bacterium. RNAcentral's name for it is "bacterial SSU rRNA". It matches the Rfam family "Bacterial small subunit ribosomal RNA", at positions 29 to 507 of the family's 1533-position model. The record is from RNAcentral.